UAGAGUUUGAUCCUGGCUCAGAGCGAACGCUGGCGGCAGGCCUAACACAUGCAAGUCGAGCGGGCCCUUCGGGGUCAGCGGCAGACGGGUGAGUAACGCGUGGGAACGUACCCUUUGGUUCGGAACAACUCCGGGAAACUGGAGCUAAUACCGGAUACGCCCUUUUGGGGAAAGAUUUAUCGCCGAAGGAUCGGCCCGCGUCUGAUUAGCUAGUUGGUGAGGUAACGGCUCACCAAGGCGACGAUCAGUAGCUGGUCUGAGAGGAUGAUCAGCCACACUGGGACUGAGACACGGCCCAGACUCCUACGGGGCGCAGCA
Molecule: ribosomal RNA, 318 nt
Filed under: uncultured bacterium
Lineage: Bacteria
Description: bacterial SSU rRNA
Rfam family: Bacterial small subunit ribosomal RNA
Source: RNAcentral